RNAcentral lists this ribosomal RNA (468 nucleotides) under uncultured bacterium. Its description in RNAcentral is "partial 16S ribosomal RNA". It matches the Rfam family "Bacterial small subunit ribosomal RNA", at positions 28 to 507 of the family's 1533-position model. The record is from RNAcentral.
GACGAACGCUGGCGGCGUGCUUAACACAUGCAAGUCGAACGGAAAGGCCCUGCUUUUGUGGGGUGCUCGAGUGGCGAACGGGUGAGUAACACGUGAGUAACCUGCCCUUGACUUUGGGAUAACUUCAGGAAACUGGGGCUAAUACCGGAUAGGAGCUCCUGCUGCAUGGUGGGGGUUGGAAAGUUUCGGCGGUUGGGGAUGGACUCGCGGCUUAUCAGCUUGUUAGUGGGGUAGUGGCUUACCAAGGCUUUGACGGGUAGCCGGCCUGAGAGGGUGACCGGCCACAUUGGGACUGAGAUACGGCCCAGACUCCUACGGGAGGCAGCAGGGGGGAAUAUUGCACAAUGGGCGGAAGCCUGAUGCAGCAACGCCGCGUGCGGGAUGACGGCCUUCGGGUUGUAAACCGCUUUCGCCUGUGACGAAGCGUGAGUGACGGUAAUGGGUAAAGAAGCACCGGCUAACUACGUG